RNAcentral lists this unclassified non-coding RNA (263 nucleotides) under plant metagenome. Its description in RNAcentral is "partial contains small subunit ribosomal RNA, internal transcribed spacer 1, and 5.8S ribosomal RNA". The record is from RNAcentral.
UUUCCGUAGGUGAACCUGCGGAAGGAUCAUUAUUGUAUAACCGAGGUGCGAGGGCUGUCGCUGACCCGACAGGUCGUGCACGCCCGAGUGCCCUCACACACAUCCAUCUCACCCCUAUGUGCACCACCGCGUGGGUCCCCCUUGGGCUUGUUCGGAGGGGGGCUUACGUUUUCACACAAACUUUGUAUGCAGUGUAGAAUGUAUUUUUUGUUUUUGCGAUCACGCAAUCAAUACAACUUUCAACAACGGAUCUCUUGGCUCUC